CAGACAGCUCUGCACCGGAACCACGAGGCAGCCAAGCCCUCCUCAGAGGGUCAUCCCAGGACACCUCUGCCCAGCUCCAGAACCCAGGCCUGCAGUUCUCUACUUCCUGUCCUGCUGAAAUUCCUUAAGGACAGUGACGUGCAGCGCCCUUCACGGCCGCGGUAGCAGCCCAGCCCCGUCUCAGGGUCUGCAGCAAGUAGUCACUCUGCAACAGGAUGUCUGCUCCAGGAAUGAAUGCAUGCACGCAGCCUGAGCCCCGCGUGCCCUUCAAGGCUCUCCUCCUUCGGAAGCCCCGGGUCCUUGCCUCAGUUCAGCAGGAUAGCAGCAGGCACUUGCGGAGGAGACACAGCGUGCCAGGCGCUGCCCUGAGCACCGCGUACAGCCAACCGUCCACUUGGGGCCAGUUCCUCCCGACAGGCAGGCCCCGUAACCACCCCAGCAGUACUGGAGAUUGAACCCAGGGCCUUGUGUGUGCGAGGCAAACGCUCUACCAACUGAGCUGUAUUCCCAGCCCUGAAGGAAGAAAUGUGAAAGUCCUUUAUAAUCCUACCCCCAGAGGGAACCUCUAACCUUUUUUAUUUUAAUUAGGAUAUUUCUUAUGAUUGCAAAAGUCAUACACAUCUAAAGAUACAUCAGAUCAAACAAACUACAGCCUCCUUGUUUGGUUACCUUGGUGGGAGAAGCAUCUGAGUCCACGUCCAUCAAUGGAACUUGCCACAUGGGUUACCAGAUCUCCCACAGUUGACCACAAUGAUUUUUUACUUUAAGAGCUAACAGAAUGGGCAAGAGCGGUCCUGAAAUCCUUUAGAAACGUGAGUCAGGUCCCGGAGCUCUGAUCUCCAUGACCCACAUCCACACGGGAUCCACCUCACCCCUGCUAGCCUUCCUGGUGUUCCUUGGAGGGCCUGCCUCUGAGGUCUUUGCACCCCAAAGAGGCUUCUCUUCCUCCAGAUAUCAGCUCCACACCCUUCUGUCCUUCCUUCAGACCUUAAGGAGAGUUUCCUCUUGGUGAGAGCCAAUCUCAUGUGGGCCACCAUCCACAUGUCACCACCCCUCCUUGACCUGCUCCUCUUUCCUUCCAUGCCACACAUCUCCCCGAGACCCCCCACAUAAGCUGCUUGUGAUCUUGUCUCCUCUCUUUAGACCUUAGCCACCCAAGGACAGCGAGAUUGGCCCCUUUGUGCCUUGAUAUAACUGAAGCGCCCAGAGCAGUCUUGGCACACAGUUGGUGUCCGAUGUGUGUGUGCUGAAUUAGGAAGGAAACAGCACCCAGCCUCACCCACCCACCCUGUGUCUGCAUUAUUCCCAUGGGUGGCUCUUCUCAGCUGCUUUCUCAUGUCAAUCCAAGCUCUGCAAAGCUGGGAGUUCAGUGCACAGGGGUCUCCCAUUUUACCAGCGUGGGCAGUCUAACCCGCAGGGGAGAACCUUUUGCCAAAGGAAAGACUGCCUUCCAUGGGGCACUGUGACCCAGAGGCUGUCACACUGAAGCCCAGGAAUUCUGGAUGCAUCUUGCCAAGCUAAAGACACAGGAAAAAGCUCCCACGCUGCAUUCCCUGAACCCCAGAGCUGGCCGGGCUCCCCCAUUACACACACAGGUGGUGUCACAGACUUCAAAACUGCACAACCACCAAGAUGCAAAGGAAUAACUACGGCAUUCCAAUAUCCUCUGCUCCACCAAGAGGGAGCCCAGGGCAUGGGGCUCUUUGGCUCUUUUUCCUCCCCAGUGCAAUGUCCUGCCAAGGGCCAGCUGGCUCUCAGUCUCAUGCAGUCCCUGCUCCGUUUGGCACACAGGACGGUUACCUUAUUCCCCUUGCCAGAAAAGACAUUCAGUGUUCCUCUCCAGGAACCACCAAACAAGUUCAAUCCAGUAACAAAUUGGUGGUACAUACAGCUUGGGGAAAAAAUGGCCUCGAUGAGGAGGCCCAUUUCUCCUUGAGGCAGAGUGGCAUGGGGGUGGGGGGAGGGAGUCGAUCCAGGGCCUAGAGGAGAAACCUUAACUCUGUUGCUUGCAGCCAAAAGCAUCCAUGAUUGAGCUAACCCAAAUUGAUAUAUCAGAAGUAUAAAGCAUUCCAAGAAGCCUGGUGGCAGUAGGGAGUCCAGGGGUUGAUGAAAUGAUCAAGGAUGCCAUCAAAAACCCAGAUGCUACCCUUCUGUUCUACCACCCUUGGACCUCAUGGUCACAAGAGGGCUGCUGACAUUCAAGUCAACACUUGCACAUUCCAGGAGGAAGAAAAGGAAGGUGCAAGAACCCUUUUAUGAGAAAACAGUCUUCCCAGAAACAUCCACCUCCACCCAGCCAACUUCCACUCACAUCUCACUGGCCAAAACUGCAUCACUUGACCACCCCAGCAGCCAGGGAAGUGGAAAAGAUUCCACUGCAGAAGGAAGAAAUGUUUAGGCAGCAAGAAAGAAAUGGAUCAGUAAUUACUGAAGAGCCAACCGUCCGGCAACAUCUGCCAAACUAGGUAUAUCAUUUUCUAAUGUGACACCCUGUUUCUGUGGGAUUUCUUAUUACAAAAGCAAUGAUUUACAUUGUGACUUAGCAAAAUAAAAAUAUAAAGUCUCUACAAUCCCCAUCAUACAAAAGGAACCACUUUUCCCCCUGGGUAUCCUUGGAGCUCUUUGUAUUUUUUAACACAGAGACAACCACACUGUGGGUUGCUCUGUAAUUAGUCUUUUGAUAUUGUUAAAAAAAAUUGAUUUCCAAGUCACUGAAUGUUCUUUCCAGAAUCAUGUUUUAUGACUGCAUGUUCCCCAGAAUAAGGUGCUAUGAUUUGUUUAUUUAGUCCCUUGGUGUUAGGCAUUUUGAUGUUUAUAAAAUGUGGUGUUUAGAAAAUUGAGAAGACAACACUAACAUUUCUCCUCCUAGCUCAACUUUUGAUCCAGCAGUUCCCUUCUGGGAAUGUACCAUAAGAGAAGAAUCUUGGAUGUGCACAUUCUUUAGAACUUUUGAAAUAUCCUUCCAAAUUGGCCUCCUAAAAGGAUUUCUCCAUUGUACAAUCCAUCUAACAGAUAGGAGAACCCAUCUUCCCCCAGAGUUUCGCCAACCUGAGCAAUGGACAGGGGGAACAGGUCUAGGUAGUGAUAGCCUAGCCCAGCACCCUUAUUUCCCAGAUUGAGGGGAGAGAGAGAAACACUUGCAAAAGGCCCACAGCAAGAUCAGGAAACCUUGCCGAGAAGGUCAUUGGUUAGGACAGUCCCCAAGUAUGGAAGUUAUCCUGCACAGAUUUACUUCUGAUUCAGCACCUUGUUUCCACUCAAUCUAUGUGACCCUAGACUUUUCACUUAACUGUUUCUGGGACCAGUAAAAAGAGGAAGUAUGGCUCAGUGAGCUCCUCUUGCCAGCCAACAAGUCAGUUAUGGACUGAAUUAUGUCUCCCUCAUAUCACAUGUUGAAGCUUUAACCUGGAAUGGGAUUGGAUUUGGAGAUAGAGCUCAAAAGAGGUCAUUCAGGUUAGAUGAGGUCAUGAGGGUGGGGCACUAACCUGGUAGGACUGGUGUUCUCAUAAGAGGACCCAAGGAGGAGCCCUCAGAGGAAAAACCACAGAAGAUAGCGACGUGACCAUUUGCAAGCAAGGAUAGAGGCCUCAAGAGAAACCAGGCCCGCCUGUGCCUUCAUCUUGGACUUCUAGACUCCAGAACU
Molecule: long non-coding RNA, 3643 nt
Organism: Sciurus carolinensis (gray squirrel)
Lineage: Eukaryota; Metazoa; Chordata; Mammalia; Rodentia; Sciuridae
Exons: 3
Source: RefSeq, a predicted model, not a curated record